RNAcentral lists this unclassified non-coding RNA (687 nucleotides) under Borreliella burgdorferi (Lyme disease spirochete). Its description in RNAcentral is "partial 16S-23S ribosomal RNA intergenic spacer". The stretch from base 2 to 75 matches the Rfam family "tRNA". Lineage: Bacteria; Pseudomonadati; Spirochaetota; Spirochaetia; Spirochaetales; Borreliaceae. The record is from RNAcentral.
UGGGGGUUUAGCUCAGUUGGCUAGAGCAUCGGCUUUGCAAGCCGAGGGUCAAGGGUUCGAGUCCCUUAACCUCCAUUGGGCUUAUGUCCUAAAUUGUAAUUAAGUAUGUUUUUAAGCAACUUUAUUAAAGUAAUUGUUGGAAUGUGAAACAGAGGAAGUUAAAAUUUCUGGGUUAAGUUGAGAUCUGUUGAUAUUAAGAAGAAUCUCUAGAAGCAAAAGCAAGCUUUCGAUAAAACCCGAAGUUGUUUCGCUAAAGUGCAAGGAUUAAACAGGAUUGUAUUUUCCAGCAGCCUAUUUUAUAAACGAUCUGCAUUUAGUAAAUAGUUUUUAGUUAGGAAAUAAUGUAGAUUGCUAAGUGUGAUGUCUGAAAGAAGGACAAGUAUUGUAGCGAGCCUAAAUCCUUGUUAUCGUUGCCAGUAUUUAGUGGUAGGGAUUCGGAUAAGACUGCUAUUUAUAAGUUGGAGGAAGGCAAAGAUUGCAUCAAAUCGUUAUCGCUCUUAUGUUUUAGGUUACAAGUUUGCCACAAUAACCCAAAAAAGCUAAGCAAAAUGCUAUAAAGCAGAUUUCAGUUUGGAUUUGCCCGACACUCAAUGGCAUGAAGUUGUAAUUGUUAGUAAUCGUAUAUACCUUAAUAUAGAAAUUGAAUAAAUUUUUGUUUUUCUUAUUAAUUAUAGCUCAAAACAGUAU